UUAGGACAAAAAAGAAAGGGAAGAAGGAGAAAUGGAAGGUAUUGUGGGAGACGAGCUAAAUCACCAUCUUCCAUUUUCAAAAUGCAAUACAGUCAAUGCCAUUUUAAAGGAAGAUCAAGGGAUCAAGGCCAAGUCCAAAAAUUUUACAACAAGAUGAAUAAUUUCUUCCAUUUAAAAUCCUAUGUUUCCAUAGGUCUAAUUUUCUGAAAUAUAAUUUACACCAUUACAAUAGGAAGAAAAUAAUUUAAAUAUCUGCACAAAAUGGUAUCACCCCAUUGGUCUUUUAGCUUUCAUUGGGAGCAUCAGCUUUUCGUAAUAAAGACGCAUCAGUGUAAGUUUUCUAUCUCUGGAUCAUUUAAUACAAGAAAAAUGCAAAUGCAAAUAAAACCUCCAAAAACCAAAAAGCAAAACUCACGAAGCUCAUCCUAGAAGGACUGUCCCAAGUCUGCUGAUGCUUGUUUGUAUUACUUUACUGAAAGGACAUUUACACACAUUUGUAACAUGCUCUCAUGGAACUGAACAGGAGGAAGACACUUCCCCCAGGAGCGGAUCCAAGGCUGUUCGCUGUUCCCAUUGACGUUGGUGUUCUCCACGCGCAGAAGCAACAGCGAACCCCCGAAAAUCAAACCACUGAAGGAUGGCGACCCCAAAUUAAAAACUACAACAACAAAUAGGGAAGAGGAGGAAUAAAAUAUAUAAGGAGAUCCUGCAAUGAUGCAAAAUCGAUGGAGGCCCUGGUCUACUAUUGAGUAGCCACGUGUUGACGAGGAAUGCAGGUCUGCCAAAGGGAGUUCUCUCUUUAGAUUGGCUGCAUCCCAGCACCAGAGGAGGGGUCCCUGACUGCGCUGGUGCUAAGAAAAGGACAGGCAGACACAACACCCAUGUCAGCUGUGAAGGAUUACACAGCUGGUGGCCAGCAUCCCCUCGGGCACCAAAUGGUCUGUCUGCCUCACAAAGCCAGGCUAGCUUUCAAAGUUGUCUAUCUACC
Molecule: long non-coding RNA, 988 nt
Filed under: Equus caballus (horse)
Lineage: Eukaryota; Metazoa; Chordata; Mammalia; Perissodactyla; Equidae
Description: lncRNA (ENSECAG00000042622.2)
Source: RNAcentral